Diospyros lotus (date-plum) is the source of this 383-nucleotide long non-coding RNA. RefSeq lists it as uncharacterized. The record is from RefSeq and is a predicted model, not a curated record. The transcript has 3 exons. Lineage: Eukaryota; Viridiplantae; Streptophyta; Magnoliopsida; Ericales; Ebenaceae.
GAAGAGGAAAAGCAAGAGAAGAAGAAACCAAAGAAGAAGGCAAGAGAAGCCAAGUGGGAGACCAGAUUGGAAAACACCAAAAAUGGGGAAGAAGCCUAAAAGAAACAGCCCCUAGUGCAAGAAAUCGGGCUGUAAAUCGUGCUAUCGAAGAGAAAACGACCAAGCUUUGUCGGAAGUAUCAAGUGUUUCAGGCUCCAGGUUCUAGCGCGAGCAAGGAUUCAGAGGUGGCGCUUGGCUGAUUUAGAGAUGGAUUUGUUUGUGUACCCGUGUAACCCCAAUAUUGUAAUGUAAAUAGUAGUUAAGAUACUUAAGGAUGUAAUCGUGAAGUUGCUAUAACUUUUUGAUACGUGGGUGCGUGAUGGACUUUUAUUUAAACUUGUGGA